GAUGAACGCUAGCUACAGGCUUAACACAUGCAAGUCGAGGGGCAGCAUGAACUUAGCUUGCUAAGUUUGAUGGCGACCGGCGCACGGGUGAGUAACACGUAUCCAACCUUCCGUUUACUCAGGGAUAGCCUUUCGAAAGAAAGAUUAAUACCUGAUAGUAUGGUGAGAUUGCAUGAUAACACCAUUAAAGAUUUAUUGGUAAAACGAUGGGGAUGCGUUCCAUUAGGUAGUAGGCGGGGUAACGGCCCACCUAGCCUGCGAUGGAUAGGGGUUCUGAGAGGAAGGUCCCCCCACAUUGGAACUGAGACACGGUCCAAAAC
Molecule: ribosomal RNA, 320 nt
Filed under: uncultured bacterium
Lineage: Bacteria
Description: bacterial SSU rRNA
Rfam family: Bacterial small subunit ribosomal RNA
Source: RNAcentral